AAGUGGAGCAAUCCAUGAGUAAAGUGGCGACCGGGUGAGUAACACGUGACUACCUGCCCUUGAGUGGGGGAUAACCUCGGGAAACCGAGGCUAAUACCGCAUAAUAUCGCAAGAUCAAAGGAGCAAUCCGCUUUUGGAGGGGGUCGCGGCUGAUUAGCUAGUUGGUAAGGCAACGGCUUACCAAGGCGACGAUCGGUAUCCGGCCUGAGAGGGCGCACGGACACACUGGAACUGAAACACGGUCCAGACUCCUACGGGAGGCAGCAGUGGGGAAUUUUGCGCAAUGGGGGAAACCCUGACGCAGCAACGCCGCGUGGAGGAUGAAGCCCCUUGGG
Molecule: ribosomal RNA, 335 nt
Filed under: uncultured bacterium
Lineage: Bacteria
Description: bacterial SSU rRNA
Rfam family: Bacterial small subunit ribosomal RNA
Source: RNAcentral